This 1235-nucleotide ribosomal RNA is filed under the name metagenome. RNAcentral describes it as "bacterial LSU rRNA". It matches the Rfam family "Bacterial large subunit ribosomal RNA", at positions 1564 to 2808 of the family's 2925-position model. The record is from RNAcentral.
UGAGUACGAGAUGCUACGGCAUUGAAGCAGUCUAUGUCAUACUUCCAAGAAAAGCUUGCACUGUCAUAAACAAAGAAUGCCUGUACCAUAACCGACACAGGUGGGUAGGUAGAGUAUACUAAGGGGCGCGAGAUAACUCUCUCUAAGGAACUCGGCAAAAUGACUCCGUAACUUCGGGAGAAGGAGUGCCUUAUUUUUAAGGUUGCAAUAACAAGAUCCAAGCAACUGUUUAUCAAAAACACAGGUCUCCGCUAAGUCGUAAGACGAUGUAUGGGGGCUGACGCCUGCCCAGUGCCAGAAGGUUAAAGAAGUUGGUUAGCAUUCGCGAAGCUGAUAACUGAAGCCCUGGUGAACGGCGGCCGUAACAAUAACGGUCCUAAGGUAGCGAAAUUCCUUGUCGGGUAAGUUCCGACCCGCACGAAAGGCGUAAUGAUUUGGAUACUGUCUCGGAGAGGGACUCGGUGAAAUAGACUUGUCUGUGAAGAUGCGGACUACCUGCACCUGGACAGAAAGACCCUAUGAAGCUUUACUGUAACUUGAAAUUGAAAUUGGACUUUAGUUGCGCAGGAUAGGUGGGAGGCGUUGAGAAUAUUCUUGCGGGAGUAUUGGAGCCAUCAGUGAGAUACCACUCUUCUAAUGUUAGAUUUCUAACUUUGUAUCAUUAUCUGGUCAAAGAACAGUUUCAGGCGGGCAGUUUGACUGGGGCGGUCGCCUCCUAAAGGGUAACGGAGGCGCACAAAGGUUCCCUCUGAACGAGUAGAAAUCGUAUCUAGAGUGUAAAGGCAUAAGGAAGCUUGACUGUGAGACCUACAAGUCGAGCAGGGACGAAAGUCGGUCUUAGUGAUCUGACGGUGCUGAGUGGAAAGGCCGUCACUCAACGGAUAAAAGUUACUCUAAGGAUAACAGGCUGAUCUCCCCCAAGAGUUCACAUCGACGGGGAGGUUUGGCACCUCGAUGUCGGCUCAUCGCAUCCUGGGGCGGUAGUACGUCCCAAGGGUUGGGCUGUUCGCCCAUGAAAGCGGUACGCGAGCUGGGUUCAGAACGUCGUGAGACAGUUCGGUCCAUAUCCGGUGUAGGCGUUAGAGUAUUGAGAGGAGCCUUCUCUAGUACGAGAGGACCGAGAAGGACAUACCUCUAGUGUACCAGUUAUCGUGCCAACGGUAAACGCUGGGUAGCUAUGUAUGGAGUGGAUAACCGCUGAAAGCAUCUAAGUGGGAAGCCCACCUCAAGAUAAG